AAAAAAGAGAAACAAUCUCGAGGUAACUCUUUUUCCGCUCUUUUUCACCCAACCUUCAGUUGUUGUUAUUGUAAGUGCAAGUAUUGUAUUCCUAUUUGCUUUAAUUGUGUUGAUUACCCGUUUCAAUCGACUUUGAAUUUGUUUUUAUUUAUCUCUAUUGAACUUGUGAAUGUUAAUUGUCACCAAAUUGUCACCAAGAUUCAAUUGAUUGGAAAGAAAUAUGGAAAAGAACUGAUCAGAUGAUUUACUGUUUGAACCAAAUGUGCUUUUACUUAUGCAUAUACAUUAUGUAAACAAGAACCAUAUUAAUUUUAAUUAUGCUGAUCAACUGAUAAUGAUAGAAGAAAUUGGAUUAAUGUUAAAAUCAUCAUGCCAACAGUUAACUUGAACAUUUGAUUCCAUGUGUGCCUCUUUUCUGGAUAAUUAUCAAUUUAAUUUGUGUCCCGCUGAUUUAUAGUAUUGGUUUUUACCACAAGUGGCUACUGACAGGCUUGAGCAAAGAGGAGCAAGAGAUAGCACGAGAAUAGAAGACCUCAAAUUGAGAUAAGGGGCUAGCUCCUCAAUCGGUUGAUAGAUGGGUCUGAUUGAAAGAGAAAAGAAAGGGGAAAAGAAAGUAAAAAUUAACCUCUUUGAAUUAUCUCUUCAAAUUAAAAGUUAAUUUUUUUAUAAUUUUUCACAAUUCUUAUUUCUUGUCUUUCUUUAAUUAGAGCCAUCUAUCAACCGAUUGUUAACUUAUUUUUAUCUCAAUUUGAGGUCUUCUAUUCUCGUGCAGUCUCUUGUUACUCUUUGGGCUUGAGCCUUUGUUGACUUUCAAUAUUUUUACCAUAUUUGCUGUUAAAGAUGUUUUUUUAAUUAUUUUUUCCUCUUCAAAUUGUUAUUUAUUGGAUUUUCUUUCGGCUUUUAUCUGUCCCAUCUGAGAAGCGGAAAUGAAAUGGAAACUCAUUGAGAGUGACCUUUAACCUUUUCAAUGUGAAGUCACUUUGGCAUGUAAAACUUGUUACAGAAGGAAGCUUUGUUUCCUGUUGUAACCCUGAAUACCGACUUAGUUGUUGAUGUCUCCGAGAUUGUCAGUUGACCCUUAUCAAAAGAGAGGCCCACUUGUUGUCCACAAGACAAUUUGAUCUACAAAAAGGCCUACUUUUACCGAGUAAAGUCUAAAGAAUAAUCGGAAGUGGAAAUUAACUGCUGUAAAUUAAGUUUACUCGUUCAAAAUUAUGUCCUGUUUUCAAAUCAUUAGAGCAUGAGUGUUAAAAUUUCAACUCAAGUUUGUUAGCUUGUUCACAGUUUUCGCUUGCAAUUUUAGCCAUCAAUGUGGUAAAUUGAUUGCCUUACUGAAGAUGAAACUGACAUGGAAAAACAAAUUUACCAAUUGAACAAUGAAGGAGCCAAAGCAGCAUCAACAAAGAAUAAUUUCAACUUGGUUUGUUUAACAAGGCAAAUAUGAAAAUCAAUGAAGCGUUGUGAGAAAAAAAGAAGGCCCAUGGUAUUCAAUUAGCUAAUCGAAAGAUGGAAACCAUCAAUAUGAAAAAGAAGUUAAUCGAGAAACAAAGCAAGGGAUUGAAUGAUACAAUUUUAAGGUCAAAUGAGGAAAAAAAGCAACCAGAAAAUCUUGCCGAGUUAUCCUUGAUUAUAUUAUCCAGGUAAACAAUGAUAUGGAAACAAGAAUACAAAGGAGGAGGAAGAGCUUUCACUAAACAUUUCAAGAUAGUCCAGUUGAUGUCCCUUAACUCACUUUUUCGUGCCUUUGCCUAUGAGGAUAACACGAAGGUCAACCACAGACUUGAGUCGACCGUACUAUUAAUACUAUAACACUGGGUCAUCACCAUUACAUCUUGAUCAUCUUGGCUCUUUCGCUCCUCGUUUAUGCACUAUUUGACCCUAACCAAGAAACUGGUUUGGUCAAGGUUCGCUAUCUAUGAUUGUCACAUCUCUAGUUGCACAGCUAAUUUAUCUCUAAUGAAUGAAAUAAUAGCAUAAUUAAUGGUGAAGUGAACACAAUUUCCUCGAUGGAUACAGCAACAUUAACCAAGGCCAAUAGAGAGAUAAUAAUGAAUUUAUAUAAUUUGGAUAGUUUUACAAAAUUAUAAUUACUCAAAUUAUUUUCUUUGUUUCUUCUUUCCGUCAUUUUUAAACAUCUUAUAGCUUCAAAUUAAACGAGGGAAUUAAACACAAGGUGAAUGAAAAGUUUCCGGAGUCAAUGGUUUCUAUUCUUACAAUAUUCCUUGUACUUGUGUUGAUCACUUUACGAGAUGCCACAGGAAGAGAAGAGGCCAAGUAAGGUGAUUACUAUUGUAAGGUGGACUGAAGUUUGCCAGUGCUUGUGUUUUGAAAAUGAGCCCUUUUUACACUUCCAAUAACCUGUACCAGGAGAAAUAACCUUUCUACAUUCUUAAAAGCCAGGUGAAUUAUCAACAAAAGGCAAAUUUGGCGAUCACCUUAUUUUAUAAGUUCCAGAGGAAAGUUAAAUGUGAAGAAAGAAAGGAGAAGAAAGAAAAGACCAUCAAGUUGAAGGAAACAACGAUUUAGGUCUACUAGACAACACCGAAAUAAAGUCUAUUCACUGUUUUGGAGGAAUAAAGCAUUGGAUAGAGAUGAAAGUAUAUGAAAGGUCAAACCAUCUGUCCUUUGGUUACCUUCAUUUUACUGUCAUGUAUGUAUUUAGGUUUACCUGAGGUCACAAGAGAGUCACGCGUGCAAGUUACUUUGAUUGAGCCUGAAUGUUUGGUUAAUCAUCAACUUAGGGGAACCCUAUGUCUGUUAUACACAAGACUUUAACAUAAUAAUCGCUUUCCUGGUUUAGCUCAACCAAAUUGUUGUUGCAUUGCUGCUGUAUCUCAAAACAAGUAAACAUUUCAAGCUUAACAGUGGUUAACCGUUGAUGGUGAACGGUUUAUCCGAUUGACCAAAGCUGUGUAAAAAACAAGUCAUCCCUGCUGUUAAUUUAUUGCUUGAUUAUCGAAUCAACCAAUAUGUUUUUAGAGAUAAUUUCUGUAACUCAUCAAUUCAACUUUGAUGGACUGGCUAUUCACAUCAAAUUUAAGUCCUUUUAUGCAAUAUGGCAUUACCUAAAUUUGUUGGGUUUAGUAUUACAUGAAAUUUCACUGCAGUCAUUUUGAUGAUUGAAUGAAUAUUUAUAAUUUGUCUAUAGUACAUUGUGUAUUACAAUUCUGAAAUUUCUUUCGUAAAGUAUUUACUCUAACAUUUACUGUAAGUACAGUUCAGCGCUUCAGCGUUCAGUUCUCUUUCCGCUUUCUAAGAAGACGUACAAAACAUACACAUAUUUGUAAAUUUGUACAACACCCGCACCUAAACAUUCUUCGAGAAAAAGGCUAAAGGCUUAAUUAGGAUUGAUAUAAAGUAUGGUCAUAAUCCGAAGUCUAUGUCAAUUUCACUUUCUUUCACUAUUCUGCUCGAAAAAUAUACAAAACUUAAAAUCGUAAAAUAUGAAUCAUAACAAUAUCUCUUAACGUUGAUAAAUUGUAUACCAGAACUUUGUUUUCCUCUCUGUCGACCAUUUAUCCAGUUUUUCCGAAAAAACGAACAGACUCACUUGUUGAUUAAAAAUAUUGUACUUGAAA
Molecule: non-coding RNA, 3578 nt
Organism: Tetranychus urticae (two-spotted spider mite)
Lineage: Eukaryota; Metazoa; Arthropoda; Arachnida; Trombidiformes; Tetranychidae
Source: RefSeq, a predicted model, not a curated record